UACGUAGGGUGCAAGCGUUAAUCGGAAUUACUGGGCGUAAAGCGUGCGCAGGCGGUGAGCUGUGUCCGCUGUGAAAGCCCCGGGCUUAACCUGGGAAUGGCAUUGGAAACUGGCUCGCUGGAGUGUGGCAGAGGGGGGUGGAAUUCCGCGUGUAGCAGUGAAAUGCGUAGAGAUGCGGAGGAACACCGAUGGCGAAGGCAGCCCCCUGGGCUAACACUGACGCUCAGGCACGAAAGCGUGGGGAGCAAACAGG
Molecule: ribosomal RNA, 253 nt
Filed under: uncultured bacterium
Lineage: Bacteria
Description: partial 16S ribosomal RNA
Rfam family: Bacterial small subunit ribosomal RNA
Source: RNAcentral